AACGCGAAGAACCUUACCGGGGCUUGACAUGGCACUGUAACGGCCGGAAACGGUCGCCUCCGCAAGGACGGUGUCACAGGUGCUGCAUGGCUGUCGUCAGCUCGUGUCGUGAGAUGUUGGGUUAAGUCCCGCAGCGAGCGCAACCCCUAUUGCUAGUUACCCUCUCUAGCGAAACUGCCGCGAGUAACGCGGAGGAAGGUGGGGAUGACGUCAAGUCAGCACGGCCCUUACGUCCCGGGCUACACACACGCUACAAUGGUCGUGACAGCGAGAUGCUACGCCGCGAGGCCACGCCAAUCUCUGAAACACGGCCUCAGUUCAGAUUGCAGGCUGCAACUCGCCUGCAUGAAGUCGGAGUUGCUAGUAACCGCGGGUCAGCACACCGCGGUGAAUAUGUUCCCGGGCCUUGUACACACCGACGCAC
This 424-nucleotide ribosomal RNA is filed under the name uncultured bacterium. RNAcentral's name for it is "bacterial SSU rRNA". It matches the Rfam family "Bacterial small subunit ribosomal RNA", at positions 958 to 1398 of the family's 1533-position model. The record is from RNAcentral.